This 343-nucleotide long non-coding RNA is filed under the name Olea europaea subsp. europaea. Lineage: Eukaryota; Viridiplantae; Streptophyta; Magnoliopsida; Lamiales; Oleaceae. The record is from RNAcentral.
GUGAGGAGGUUGAGGUGAGGUAUCUUGCGUUCACAAUUUUCGCAUUCAUAGCAGUACAAUUCGUACUAUUUUACUGGUUGCUAAUCACUUUUAGGAGGUUGUGGUGGUGGUAACGGUGGUGGUGCUGCUGUUGGAUGUAGCGGUGAGGUGGAGGUCACAAGUAUUGGUGGUUACAAAUUAUUUGAUUGAUUGUGAUCAUUAAAUUAUUUAACCAGUGACCAAUAAAUAAUAAUGCGACCAAUGAAAUAUAAUAGCUGUGACCAAAAAAUAAUAAUUGUGAUAAAAAAAAUAAUGUGUAACCUAAAAAAAUUGUUAAUUUGUGAACGAAAAUUUGAUAAUUUGU